UCCGUGUUUCAUUUUCAAGAGGCUGUUCAGUCAAUUAUAUGAGAUAUUCAACUCAUUAUUAUAAAACAGGCUUUGUGUGAGGUGGUUUUGCCCAACUGUAGGCUAAUGUUAAGUAUUCCGAACACGUUUACGGUAGGCUAGGCUAAGCUAUGACGUUUGGUAGGUGUAUUCAAUGCAUUUUCGACUUACAUUUUUAGUUUACAAUGGGUUUAUAGGAAUGUGUAUUAGUCCAUUCUCAUACUGCUAUAAAGAAAUACCUGAGACUGGAUAAUUUAUAAACAAAAGAGGUUUAAUUGACUCACAGUUCCACAGGCUCUCCAGGAAGCACGGCUCAGGAGGCCUCAGGAAACUUUCAAUCAUGUGCGGGCGAAGGGGAAGCAGGCACAUGGCUGGAGCAGGAGGAAGAGAGUGAAGCGGGAGGUGCCACACACUUUUCAACAACCAGAACUCACUGUCACAAGAACAGCAAGGGGAAGAUCCACCCCCAUGAUCCAAUAGCCUCCCACCAGGCCCCUCUUCCAACAGUGGGGAUUGCAAUAAGAUUUUGGCAGAGAGACAGACCCAAACCAUACCAGAUGUAACUGUAUCAUAAGUUGAGGGACAUUGGUAUAUAGCUUAUAUAAUAGAAAAAGAGAAUUUCUCUUCAGUUUUAGGAAUCUUUUUUUUCCCCAGGAGCCUAUUUUUAAUUGUUCUUACUACUCUGGGUAUAGUAUGUUACAGUCUUAGAGUAUUUAUGCUUUAUCUUCAAAUGUCAGCUUACACUGAUCAAUUUAGGGCAGAAGCCUGUUAUAGUCCUUUCUUGGAACCACACCACAUAGAAGAAAUAAUUUUUUUUUAACUUUUUUUUGUUUUAUGCUUUUCUGAUACUUUUUCCUACGGACUUCCUGGAGGCAACAAAGCUAAACAAGCUCUUCAAAGUUUAAUCGACCUCUUCGGAUCUAUGACUGUAUGGGUAGGCCCUAAUGGACUUAAAUAUUAUCAAAAGUUGCUGAGCACAGGCUUUGUAAGUGCACAUUUCGUUAAUAUUGCCUCCACUUCUCCAUUUAUGAUCAUGGGGAACACACGCAGCACAGACAGAAGGUAUCUCCCCACUCCAUUUUUUUCAUUGAUUUGUAUCUUCUUUUGCCAUGAAACUUUUCACUAUCACCAAUAACAAAGAGCCAGACAGAGAUGAAUUUACAUUCAUUACCUUACCUUAUUUUUAACCUUAGGCAACCAUAAUCGUGAGCAAGUGAAGGGUCAAAGCUAUUAGUAUUCCUAAAUGAAUAGUAGAUUUAUUUUGAAAGUGAUCAUUAAGAGGAAAUGUGCUUAUUCCUUAGUGCUUUAAUUUGGCAAACACAUUUGAGUUUCUCUUGUGCCCCAGGUACCGUGCUAGGCUCUGGGUGUCAAAGGAUAAGGACAAACACAGCUGUUGCCUCUCAAGAUCUAGCAUAAGGCAACAAUUAGUAAACUGGGUCUAAUUUGUGAAAUAGCAGUAUGUGAAUUCUGUUGAAAAAUACUGAACUCAUGCCCAAAAGACUCGGUUUAUCAUCCCAGCGUUGACAUUUACUAGUUAUGUGACCUUGAACAAGUCACUGUGUCUCCCUCACCUCUAGGUUUUUCUCCCAAAAAGUGUGACAUUUGACCACAACUAGAUGAUUCUUUUCUGUUCCAAAGCUGUAUGAUUCCCUGGUCAUAGUCAAGCCCAUCGAUGGGGAAAACUAGAAUAGAACUUAUUGGAUGGGUACCACGCAGGACUCACAUCCAGUGAGUAGGAAGGACUUUUUCAGCCUGGGGGAAAAUAAGACAAAGUGAUGGUUAAAGGUGAUGGCUCCAGAGUCACAGGUGUGGGUUUGAACCCUGGGUUUCUCAUCUACUAGCUGUCUGGUCUUGGAUAAGUUUCUUAAUCUUUAAAUCUUAGUAGUGCUGGUAAUAUGAAGGUUUGGGUGAGAUUUAAGUAAGAUUCUGCACUAAAAGCAAUUUUCACCAUACCUUGCACGUAGCGAAGGCCUACAUUUCCAUAUAUAUAUUAUUCCUAUUUGUAUUACAUUACCAUGGCUGUCACAACAAAGUACCCCAGACUUGGUGGCUUAAACAAUAGAAAUUGAUUAUCUCACGGUUCUGUGGGCCAGAAGUCCAAGAUCCAGGUGGUGGCAGGGCUGGCUUCUUCUGACAUCUGUGAGGGAGGCUCUGCUCCAGGCCUCUCCCUGGCUGUAGACGCCUAUCUUCUCCCUGAGUCUCUCCACAUCGUCUUUACUCUAUGCUUGUGUCUAUGUGCAACUUUCCCCUUUCGCUAAGGACAGCAACCAUAGUGACCUUGAUUACCUCUCUAAAGACCCUGUCCCCCAAAUAUAAUCAUAUUAUGUGAUGCUGGGAGUUUCAAAUUUCAUCACAUAAAUUUGGAGGAGACACAAUUCAAUCCAUACUGCUGUUGAUAUAGGUAAUAAUAACAACUAUUAUUAGUAUCAUGUUUAGAGCAGAGGUCAUCCACUCCAGAAAACUGCAUGUCUUUGAAAUGGGAAAUUCUUUCCUAGUGCCUCGAACGUAAUAAAUGACUUGAAGUGGGUAAGAAGAGGCUACAAGAAUGAAUGAGUGAGUGAGUGAACGUAAUAAAUGACUUGAAGUGGGUAAGAGGCUACAAGAAUGAAUGAGUGAGUGAGUGAGUGAAUGUAAUAAAUGACUUGAAGUGGGUAAGAGGCUACAAGAAUGAAUGAGUGAGUGAGUGAGUGAAUGUAAUAAAUGACUUGAAGUGGGUAAGAGGCUACAAGAAUGAAUGAGUGAGUGAGUGAGUGAAUGUAAUAAAUGACUUGAAGUGGGUAAGAGGCUACAAGAAUGAAUGAGUGAGUGAGUGAGUGAAUGUAAUAAAUGACUUGAAGUGGGUAAGAGGCUACAAGAGUGAAUGAGUGAAUGAGUGAGUGAAUGGUGGGCAGGAUAUGAGGAGCCUUAAGGAUUUACCUCCAGCAGGGAUGGGGCAAGUGACCAAUGGAGCUCCAAGCAUCUGCGGGAGGUAAACAGCAGAUGUAUAAAAGGAGCCUUCUCGAGAGCCUGCAGGUCUAAGACCACAGCGAUAGGAGGACAGGGCAAGAACCUCUGUUCCAGAAGGAUUGGGACCAGGAAGAAAGCUGCAGAGAGGCAGGCUCGUGCUCACCUGCAGUCAUGCCCAUCUUGCCCACCUGCUGUCUGCGACUAGGCCAACUCCUAAACCUCUCUGAAGCUUAAGACCUGCCACAGUGGGCUGUGCCAGAGUUGGAGUGGAGACUCACUGAGAUCAUCUAGAAGAGGCACCUGCCUCAAAGCCUUCAGGUAAUACCCACACAUAAACCUUAGGGUUUUUCCUACCUGCAAUUCUGUGUUCUGGCCCC
Molecule: long non-coding RNA, 3341 nt
Filed under: Homo sapiens (human)
Lineage: Eukaryota; Metazoa; Chordata; Mammalia; Primates; Hominidae
Description: HSALNT0206772
Source: RNAcentral